Molecule: long non-coding RNA, 287 nt
Filed under: Mytilus galloprovincialis (Mediterranean mussel)
Lineage: Eukaryota; Metazoa; Mollusca; Bivalvia; Mytilida; Mytilidae
Source: RNAcentral
CUCAUUUGAAUUGUUUUUCAUUAGUAAUUGAAGGGCCUUUUACAGCUCACUAUGCAAUAACCGCUUUUGAUCUGUAGCUGUUAACUUCUGUGUCUUUUGGUCUAUUGCGGAGAGUUGCCUCAUUAACAAUCAAUUAUCAUACCACAUCUUCCUUUUAUAUUGAAACACAAAUAUUGACACAUAAAAACCUUUCAGAUAGAAAGUCAGAAUGAGACUUAUGGAUAAAAACUUAGCAGACUGUCAGCUCACACUUUUCAUAUGUUGUCACAAAUAUGGUGUAUUAAGCA